This 1046-nucleotide ribosomal RNA is filed under the name uncultured archaeon. RNAcentral's name for it is "bacterial SSU rRNA". It matches the Rfam family "Archaeal small subunit ribosomal RNA", at positions 1 to 1054 of the family's 1478-position model. The record is from RNAcentral.
UCUGGUUGAUCCCGGCAGAGGUUACUGCUAUCGAGGUUCGACUAAGCCAUGCGAGUCGAAUGUAGCAAUACAUGGCGUACUGCUCAGUAACACGUGGACAACCUACCCUUAGGACAGGUAUAAACCCGGGAAACUGGGUAUAAUCCCUGAUAGUCCUCGACUGCUGGAAUGCAUCGAGGGCGAAAGCUCCGGCGCCUAAGGAUGGGUCUGCGGCCUAUCAGGUAGUAGUGGGUCUAAAGUACCUACUAGCCUACGACGGGUACGGGUUGUGAGAGCAAGAGCCCGGAGAUGGAUUCUGAGACACGAAUCCAGGCCCUACGGGGUGCAGCAGGCGCGAAAACUUUACAAUGCCGGCAACGGCGAUAAGGGGACCUCGAGUGCCAGGUUACAAAUCUGGCUGUCGUGAUGCCUAAAAAGCAUUGCAUAGCAAGGGCCGGGCAAGACCGGUGCCAGCCGCCGCGGUAACACCGGCGGCUCGAGUGGUAACCGUUAUUAUUGGGUCUAAAGGGUCUGUAGCCGGCCGGAUAAGUCUCUUGGGAAAUCCAGCAGCUCAACUGUUGGGCUUCCAGGAGAUACUGUCUGGCUCGAGGCCGGGAGAGGUGAGAGGUACUUCAGGGGUAGGGGUGAAAUCUUGUAAUCCUUGAAGGACCACCAGUGGCGAAGGCGUCUCACCAGAACGGACCUGACGGCAAGGGACGAAAGCUAGGGGCACGAACCGGAUUAGAUACCCGGGUAGUCCUAGCCGUAAACGAUACUCGCUAGGUGUCGGCCACGGUGCGACCGUGGUCGGUGCCGUAGGGAAGCCGUGAAGCGAGCCACCUGGGAAGUACGGCCGCAAGGCUGAAACUUAAAGGAAUUGGCGGGGGAGCACUACAACGGGUGGAGCCUGCGGUUUAAUUGGAUUCAACGCCGGAAAUCUUACCGGGACCGACAGCGAUAUGAAGGCCAGGCUGAAGACUUUGCCGGAUUAGCUGAGAGGUGGUGCAUGGCCGUCGUCAGUUCGUACUGUGAAGCAUCCUGUUAAGUCAGGCAACGAGCGAGACCCA